Molecule: transfer-messenger RNA, 354 nt
Filed under: Smithella sp.
Lineage: Bacteria; Pseudomonadati; Thermodesulfobacteriota; Syntrophia; Syntrophales; Smithellaceae
Also listed under: 1 other name
Rfam family: transfer-messenger RNA
About the family: Bacterial tmRNA, also known as 10Sa RNA or SsrA, is named for its dual tRNA and mRNA-like properties. Its role is to liberate the mRNA from a stalled ribosome.
Source: RNAcentral
GGGGGUGUAAUGGUUUCGACGGGGACAUUUGAAGUUGUAGAAGCGUGCCGAGGUUCCUACAGGCCUCGUUAAAUAGGUAGGAAACAUAUAAUCGCAGACAACUACGAUUACGCCUUAGCCGCUUAAGACGGCUAACGUUCCACCCGGUUCUCCUGUUGAUCGGAAUGGAACGUCAUUCAGACAGGAUAGCCAAACUUCUUUCCUGGGGGAGGGCGGCGAAUUCCUACAGGAUAGCGCGGUGCGAUCCGGCCUUAGGGAGCAAUCCAGCGUGAAGGUUCUAAAACGAAGGCUACGCACGUAGAGGCUCCAGCGGAAGGUUUUCGGACGCGGGUUCGAUUCCCGCCACCUCCACCA